This 2650-nucleotide long non-coding RNA is filed under the name Mus musculus (house mouse). Its description in RNAcentral is "long non-coding RNA chr2:52909118-52911768". The record is from RNAcentral. Lineage: Eukaryota; Metazoa; Chordata; Mammalia; Rodentia; Muridae.
AGCUCUCUUCCCAGCACCUACUUGGUCUGAGAACCAACUAUACCUCCAGCUCCAGGGGACCUUGUACUUUCUCUGGACCUCUGAGAUCUGCAUGUACGUGGUAAGCACUAAGUCACUCAGGCAAGCACAUAUGCAUGUCAAUUAAUCAUUUAAAAAGAAAAAAAAAAAAAAAGAACUCUAGAAACCACAAACAAUUGCUUUUCCCCUGUCUUUGGAAGACCCCAUACUCAAAUUUAUCCACAAAAUAACUUUUCUAUGAUAGGUAACCCUUUGCAGGAAUUAAUUUUUAUUUAGCACUAGAGAUAUACUGAAGUGAUUUAAAUUGUGAUUUGAGAAUAAACAUAAACUCGUUGACUUAAAAUCUAUGAAACUGAAUUUCUGGGCGUGGCCUUCCUGUCAGAGUUAAACUGUGUCUGUGUUCCCUCCCUUCAGCCGACCAUAAAGAACGCUGGUGCUUUUGUCUCUGGUGUCACCAGAAAUUGCUUUAGCCAAAUUAAACUACACACGUAUCAAGGGUAGUCUUGUCUAAUUUUCUCACAAUGCUAUAUUGCUAUUAUUAUUAUUAUUAUUAUUAUUCAAAUUCCUUUCCAGUUCCUUGACCCACAGUAGGAAAUCAAGCUGCAGAAGCCUUUUGAUCAGGCUGUCUUUGCAGUUCUCUGUUUUCAGACUCAGGACUAUCUGUAGGUCCAAGCUGGAUUGCCGUGGUGCUGUGUGACAUGAGGUAGCAAACCCCACACAAGAGGCUAAAGCAGUGGCUUUCAACCUUCCUAACGGUGCGACCCUUUCAUCCAGUUCCUCGUGUUGUGAUGACCCUCAGCCAUAAAAUAAUUCUUUUUAAAGAUUUAUUGAUUUUUUUUUUUUUUUUAAUGUAUGAGAGUACCCUGUCACUCUCUUCAGACACCCAAGAAGAGAGAGCAUCGGAUCCCAUUACAGGUGGUUGUGAGCCACCAUGUGGUUACUGGGAAUUGAACUCAGGGAGAGGAGUCAGUGCUCUUAACUGCUGAGCUAUCUCUUCAGCCCCAUAAAAUUAUUUUUGUUGCUACUCCAUAACUGUAAUUUUACUGCUGAAUAACUGAAAUUUUGCUAUUGCUGUGAAUUGUAAAGCAAAUAUCUAAUAUGCAGGAUAUGUGAUAUGUGACCCUUAAAGGGGUCGUGACCCACAGCUUGAGAACCACGUGUCUAAAGACAUGUUCUAGAGUAGUGCUUGGGAUGCAAAGAAUAGAAAGGGCAACUUCUAGAAAUUUCUAUUCUUCUACAAAGAAUAGAAAGGACAAGUUCUAGGCAAGAGCUUGAAUGGAGUACCUCAGCCUGAAGAAAAAAUCCCAUCCAAGGGACUUUGGGUUUCAAUGAAAUUGGUGUCUUGAUUCUAGCCCCACAAGGUUGUUACUAAUAAGCUCGUUCCAAUAUUGAGCCUCCACAGUGGUCCUUGGCUAUUACCCGGAUUGAUCUCUUAGAAUAAGAAGUUAGAUUGAGAUACUGAAGUGAUUUAAAUUGUGAUUUGAGAAUAAACAUAAACCUGUUGAACACAAUCUGGGAAGGUAAAUUUGGAGGGAUGGCCUUCCUGUGAGACUUGAGCCAGGUCAGCUCUCAGUUCAGCUGACGUGAGAGAAGGGCUAAGGCGCUUUGGUUGUUAAUAUCACCAAAAAUUAUUCAAGCCGAGUUGCAAUGCAAAAUUUUUUUUUUUUAGAUAUUUUCUUUAUUUACAUUUCAAAUGUUAUCCCCUUUCCUCGUUUCCUCUCCAAAAAUCCCCCUCCCCUCCCCUUCCCCCUUCUCCCUUCUCCCCAACUCACCCACUCCCAUUCCUGGUUCUGGCAUUCCCCUAUACUGGGGCAUAGAACCUUCACAGGACCAAGGGCCUCUCCUGCAAUGCAAAUCUUUUGAUUUGAAAUAUGCAAACUGUGUUUUUAUAGCGAAACUACAUUGGUAUACUUAGAGAUUUUUCUUUAAUAUCCCUCCCCAGAAAGAAUUUGGAGAAAAAUAGUAACGAGUUAAAAAAAAAAAAAAUCAACAGGCUUACGGGAGAAGAGAGGACAAUGUGGAAUUCUUGAAUUCUUUUUUGGAAGCCAAAUUUAUUUUUAUAAGCCUUUAGCAGAAUACUGUUUGUUCUUGGGAUAAUUGGCUCUGGCCUUGUCUUUCAAAUAUGCUUUGACCAACGACCAGUUGAGAGAAACAGGAUAAAUGAAAUUGGGAAAUUAAGAAAAUGGCUAUUUUUUUUUCUUCUUAAAAUGAGAACAAAAGUCAUGAGGGGGGUCUUUUAUUUUUCAGAUAAUUUUUAAGAACCCCUGCCUUUAGCAGAAAGGUUUUGCUUAAGUGUUGUCACUCUGGAGAGAGGGGAGGAUUCUGAAGUCUUUAAUGUGGUUCUACAAAUGUAAGCCUGGCUGUUUAAUCAUGGCAUUUCUGCAGAGACGAAUCUCUGUGCCCACACGUCUCCCCCUUCUCUCAUUUCUUUUAAUGUCUUAGAUGUGGACUAAGCCUUGGAACAGCCACUGCUAAGUGUUUCCACAUUGGAAAAAUUGAAGAGUUUGGCUGGAUACAAUUCUGACUUUAUAGGAGGGAAUUACUUGUCCCUUAAGGCUGCGUUAGAAGUCAUAUACUUUAUUUGCUAUUUGGACCUAGGUGGCCUAAACCAAACAAAAGAAAACAAAACAAC